UUGGAGGGCAAGUCUGGUGCAGCAGCCGCGGUAAUUCCAGCUCCAAUAGCGUAUAUUAAAGUUGUUGCAGUUAAAAAGCUCGUAGUUGAAUUUCGGGGUCAGUAGGUUGGUCAUGCCACUGGUAUGUACUGGUCUCACUGAUUCCUCCUUCCUGAUGAGCUGUAAUGCCAUUAAUUUGGUGUUGCGGGGAAUCUGGACUGUUACUUUGAAAAAAUUAGAGUGUUUAAAGCAGGCUAACGCCUGAAUACAUUAGCAUGGAAUAAUGAAAUAGGACGUUCGAUCCUAUUUUGUUGGUUUCUAGGAUUGACGUAAUGAUUAAUAGGGAUAGUUGGGGGCAUUAGUAUUCAAUUGUCAGAGGUGAAAUUCUUGGAUUUAUUGAAGACUAACUACUGCGAAAGCAUUUGCCAAGGAUGUUUUCAUUAAUCAAGAACGAAAGUUAGGGGAUCGAAGACGAUCAGAUACCGUCGUAGUCUUAACCAUAAACUAUGCCGACUAGGGAUCGGAUGAUGUUAAUUUUUUAAUGACUCAUUCGGCGCCUUACGGGAAAC
Molecule: ribosomal RNA, 548 nt
Filed under: uncultured Glomeraceae
Lineage: Eukaryota; Fungi; Glomeromycota; Glomeromycetes; Glomerales; Glomeraceae
Description: SSU rRNA
Rfam family: Eukaryotic small subunit ribosomal RNA
Source: RNAcentral